CAAAGUGCUGGGAUUACAGGCGUGAGCCACUGCACCCGGCCCUGAACUUAGGUUUUGAUGUCCCAGGGAUGUCCUGGUUGCUGGUCUUUCCCCACACCGGGUGGGGUUACGGUGGGUGGUGACUAGGAGUCAAUGUCAAAACCCUUUUAGCCACAGUUGAGCAAUAGGGGAGGUUUGGAGGGUGUGGUGCCUGGGCUGAGGCCCCCUGGGGCCCGUUACUGAGUUCAGUUUUGUCUGCUUUGGAGUCUCUUGCUGUCAUCUCGACGCGCUGGGCCAGCAUGAUCCUGCGAGGAGUUGUACUUCAAAAUUUAACAAGGAACAAACGCAAAGCUUCAAAAGGGGAAAUACAAGCUUUCCCAGAGGAGUUUCUCCAGGUGCAGCGUGUGGUGGCAGCAACAGCACAGGCAUUUCCUUACUUAACCAGAAGAGACUAAGGGAUCUCCUGGGUCAGGUUCUGUGGAGUUCCAGCAGAAGCCGCGGAUCGUGGAAGUUCAGCGACACCACCGUCCUGCCCCGUGGGAGAGGUGGGCAUUGAGAUGGGUAAGAGCGUCAUCAUGACAGGAGUCCUGUUCGCCGGCGUCUAGGGAAAGCCGUCUACAGCAUGAAACGUCCUAUUCGCGACCUGGUUUGCAGUUCGAAUGUCUCUGACUAUGGCAUUGGGAGGUUUGACAAACGCUCUUUCGAAUCCAGAAAAGUCAAGUAGAGAAGGAAAGUAAGGGGCCACUUACUGUGCCUCGAAUCACAAGACCGCGGUGGACCAGCCUGGUUAAGACCUGUGGAUGUCUUCAGCAAGAAACUUGGAGAGGCCCCUAAAGAUAUCGCCAGAGAGAAAACAAAGAAAGCUUCAGUCGCUCCUUCCUAAGCUGUCACGACUACUCUUUUAAAUGGCCCCAUGCUUGGAUUUCUGUCACCACGACUGGGGGAGCCUGGGCGAGUGUGCUUUCCCUCACUGCACCUCCCAUGGGAGCCCAGGCUGCUGCGCCGUCCUCAGACUGUUGGGAUGAUGAGCGGACGGUGAACUCCCACCACCUGCGCCUGUGAAGGGAGCUCCGGUUGAGGGGCUUUGCUGGCUUCGGGUCGGGGGCUGCCGUAGUUCUGUGUUGGGGAGAUGGUGUGGACUGCGGCAGAGCCAAGCCUGAGCCCCACGCCAGGAUGAGUGGAGUGCCCGGAAAGCAUUCUGAUUUCCGGCCUGGCGUGUCUUCCUUCCAUUACACUGAAAGUUUUACCCAA
Molecule: long non-coding RNA, 1230 nt
Organism: Homo sapiens (human)
Lineage: Eukaryota; Metazoa; Chordata; Mammalia; Primates; Hominidae
Exons: 3
Source: RefSeq, a predicted model, not a curated record